UUGAAUGUCUUCCUGAAUUUCUCUGAUAAUUAUUGGUAUAGGUGGGUACAUUCGUAUUGUUUCCUUUAACACUUGUUCUAAAUACACUAGUCGGGCGGUAUCUUUCAUGGUAAUUAUAUAGUCACCGUCACCGAAAACAUUGUAUAUUUCAUCGUACACCUUAUUCUGAUAUAUCAGAAACAAUGUAUGUAGAAAUCAAUUACAAAAUUUUAAAAAUUAUAACUGCAUCAUUUGCUUA
Cinara cedri is the source of this 238-nucleotide non-coding RNA. NCBI's taxonomy places the organism in Eukaryota, Metazoa, Arthropoda, Insecta, Hemiptera, Aphididae. The record is from the annotation of a GenBank genome assembly.